AUUCAUGACUGCCUCUGAGAAGAAGAUUAGGCAACUGAUGGAGUUUUAUCUGACCAAAGCUUGUUUGCAGCUUUCAGAUCUUGUUAGAUCCCCACGUCUAUUUAUGAUCAGUUUGGAGAGAAUUGCCAUACCAAGAUGCUAUGUUCUGAAAGUGCUAAUCUCUAAGGGAUUAAUUAAGAAGAAUGUGAGUGUUGCUUGGGCAUUGAAUAUGACGAAGAAACAGUUUGAGGACAGGUAUUUUACUUGCUUCAAGGAGGAUUACCCUGAAUUGAUCCAGGCAUACCAGGU
RNAcentral lists this unclassified non-coding RNA (288 nucleotides) under Hevea brasiliensis (rubber tree). The record is from RNAcentral. Lineage: Eukaryota; Viridiplantae; Streptophyta; Magnoliopsida; Malpighiales; Euphorbiaceae.